CUUCCUGGUAACAUUGGUGGCUAACACUUGCUUAGGCAGGGAUUGUCAUGCAUUCUUUCUAUUAAACUUCAUAGCAAUCUUUUGAGUUAAGAGCCUUGUUAGCAUAUCUUAUUGAUGAGGAGCUGAGACACAGAAAGGAUAAAUAACUUGCCUGAUACUCCAAAGCUAGUAAAUAGAAACGCAGAAUUCAAAAGUAAACAGUCUGACGGCAAAGCUCAAGAGUGUUUUCUACUCUUCCGUACUGUCUCCAGGCAAGUUAGCUUCGGCCAGUAGCCGUUCUCUUUAUGUGCCAGGUGUUCAUAAAUUAGGCGUUUGUGAGUUAGGAAGUAGCUCUGCAACUUUGGCUUUAUAUCAGAAACCAUCACAACUCUCUACUGGCUUUGCUGAGGAAUCAGUCAAUGCAGAGGAGGUCUCGAUCUGUCACUCAGGCUGGACUGCAGUGGCGUGAUCUCGGCUCACUGCAACCUCCGCCUCCUGGGUUCAAGAAAUUCUCCUGCCUCAGCCUCCUGAGUAGCUGGGACUACAGGCAUGCACAACCACAUCCAGGUAAUAUUUGCAUUUUUAAUAGAGAUGGGGUUUCACCAUGUUGGCCAGGCUGGUCUCACUGCUAAAAUUUUACACAAUAUAGAAGUAUGCAAUAUAAACAUGAGAGAUAUUCCUUCUCCCCUUCUUCACUAUUCCAAGGGUAACUCAAUGUUAUCACUUUUCUAUUUAUCUUCUAUGAUGACUUUUAUAUUCAAAUACAUAUAAAUUUUAAGUUUUAUUAAAAUUAUAUCAAACUAUUUAUAUUUUUGUGAAACUUGCCUUUCUACUCACCAAUAUAGUAUCGAAAGAGAAACUCAGUUGGAUCCUUCUCAGGUAAUAAUGGAAAUUAUUGGUUCGUGUAUUCCAAGCAAAGAUUGAAUGACUGAGCGAUAAGAAAAGAAGGAUGGAGCUGGGCCUCGUAUCUCCUGGAUCCAAUACUUUGAACAUUCCUCCCUAGUCUCAGAUUCUCACAGAUUGUCAGUUUGAUUGGUCUCUUUUAUUGGAAAGUAGAUUACAAGAUGAAAAAUAUGGCUACCAACAAUUCCCAAGUAGGGCACUGAAGAAAGCCAGUCAUUCUUUCUCAGUUACACUUCAAAAAGUCCAAGGUAUGACUCAGAUUGAUUCAACUUGGGUUAAGCAUUCAUCUCUGUGUCAAUCAAGUAUAUGUAGGAGACUGGAAUAUCAUGACUGGCACACCUUUAUUCAGGUACCCUAUCCUGGAACAUUUAAUAGCAACCUAAGGAACAGUAUCAUUGCAAAUAUCCUAGCUUUCACUCAGUAUCUACAAAUCUGCUCUGCUUAAAGGUUUCUUCUUGGUGUUCAUGUAUCUGUCUGUCUACACCAUGGCAUUAAAUAAUCCUUACAAGACAAUAAAGUGUAUUGAUUAUCUUGUGUUUUAUACUUCUUCCUUAUAUUAAUUAUCUUGAAUGACUCUUCCUCAUCUCUGAAUCCUGCCUCCAAGAAUAACAGCAACAAAAUAGUUAAAUAAAUUGCUAAUUUAUAUGAUGACCUGUUUAUGUAUUCAAUUUAGAUUUAAGUAAAUGGCAUCAAGAAGGAUGAGUACCAAGGCUUCCCUUCUCCUCAUUUCUCAUGGUUUCAAUGUAUGUGCAUUAAUUUGCUGCUCAAGUUCCGAGUUGUCCAGGAACAUUGACAUGUAUAGAGAUUUGUUUUUAUCUGUAAGUAGCUCUUGUUCAGCUCUUUAUAGUCAAAUAAAUAAAACUAAUAUGCUUUAUUCUCUGUAAUUUAUUUCCAUGCUUAACAUGUUUUAAAACUCCUUAUGUUUCAGGUCUUGUUUUAGAUAUGGAAAUGUAGGAAUAAGUAGUUUGUGG
RNAcentral lists this long non-coding RNA (1853 nucleotides) under Homo sapiens (human). RNAcentral's name for it is "HSALNT0165437". Lineage: Eukaryota; Metazoa; Chordata; Mammalia; Primates; Hominidae. The record is from RNAcentral.